This 297-nucleotide ribosomal RNA is filed under the name uncultured bacterium. Its description in RNAcentral is "partial 16S ribosomal RNA". It matches the Rfam family "Bacterial small subunit ribosomal RNA", at positions 28 to 334 of the family's 1533-position model. The record is from RNAcentral.
GACGAACGCUGGCGGCGUGCUUAACACAUGCAAGUCGAACGAGCGUAGCAAUACGCGAGUGGCGGACGGGUGAGUAACGCGUGAGGAACCUGGCUCUAACAGGGGGAUAACAACGGGAAACUGUUGCUAAUACCGCAUAAGACCACAGAGCGGCAUCGCUCAGGGGUCAAAGCUCCGGCGGUUAGAGAUGGCCUCGCGUACUAUUAGCUUGUUGGUGAGGUAACGGCUCACCAAGGCGACGAUAGUUAGCCGACCUGAGAGGGUGAUCGGCCACAUUGGAACUGAGACACGGUCCAA